This 567-nucleotide ribosomal RNA is filed under the name uncultured bacterium. Its description in RNAcentral is "partial 16S ribosomal RNA". It matches the Rfam family "Bacterial small subunit ribosomal RNA", at positions 355 to 909 of the family's 1533-position model. The record is from RNAcentral.
UGGGGAAUAUUGCACAAUGGGCGCAAGCCUGAUGCAGCCAUGCCGCGUGUGUGAAGAAGGCCUUCGGUUGUAAAGCACUUUCAGCGAGGAGGAAGGUGGUGAACUUAAUACGUUCAUCCAUUGACGUUACUCGCAGAAGAAGCACCGGCUAACUCCGUGCCAGCAGCCGCGGUAAUACGGAGGGUGCAAGCGUUAAUCGGAAUUACUGGGCGUAAAGCGCACGCAGGCGGUUUGUUAAGUCAGAUGUGAAAUCCCCGGGCUCAACCUGGGAACUGCAUUUGAAAACUGGCAAGCUAGAGUCUCGUAGAGGGGGGUAGAAUUCCAGGUGUAGCGGUGAAAUGCGUAGAGAUCUGGAGGAAUACCGGUGGCGAAGGCGGCCCCCUGGACGAAGACUGACGCUCAGGUGCGAAAAGCGUGGGGAGCAAAACAGGAUUAGAUACCCUGGUAGUCCACGCUGUAAAACGAUGUCGAUUUUGGAGGUUGUGCCCUUGAGGCGUGGCUUCCGGAGCUAACGCGUUAAAUCGACCGCCUGGGGAGUACGGCCGCAAGGUUAAAAACUCAAAAGUG